RNAcentral lists this ribosomal RNA (852 nucleotides) under uncultured bacterium. RNAcentral describes it as "bacterial SSU rRNA". It matches the Rfam family "Bacterial small subunit ribosomal RNA", at positions 1 to 831 of the family's 1533-position model. The record is from RNAcentral.
AUUAGAGUUUGAUCCUGGCUCAGAACGAACGCUGGCGGCGUGCCUAACACAUGCAAGUCGGACGAGAACGCGGGCUUCGGUCCGUUAGUAAAGUGGCAGACGGGUGAGUAACACGUGGGUAACCUACCCGGAGGCGGGGGAUAACCUUUCGAAAGGGAGGCUAAUACCGCAUAACAUCCAUGAGGCUUCGGCCUCGCGGAUCAAAGCUUGCCUCUACCUGUAAGCAAGUACCACCGGAGGGACCCGCGGCCCAUUAGCUUGUUGGUGAGGUAACGGCUCACCAAGGCUACGAUGGGUAGCCGGCCUGAGAGGGCGAUCGGCCACACUGGAACUGAGACACGGUCCAGACUCCUACGGGAGGCAGCAGUGAGGAAUUUUGCGCAAUGGGGGAAACCCUGACGCAGCGACGCCGCGUGGAGGACGAAGGCCUUCGGGUCGUAAACUCCUGUCAAGUGGGACGAAAGCCGGAGAGAUGAAUAAGCUUUUCGGUUGACGGUACCAUUGGAGGAAGCCCCGGCUAACUCCGUGCCAGCAGCCGCGGUAAUACGGAGGGGGCUAGCGUUGUUCGGAAUUAUUGGGCGUAAAGGGCGCGUAGGCGGCCUGUCAAGUCGGACGUGAAAUCCCACGGCUCAACCGUGGAACUGCGUUCGAAACUGUCAGGCUUGAGUCCCGGAGAGGGUAGCGGAAUUCCCAGUGUAGCGGUGAAAUGCGUAGAUAUUGGGAGGAACACCAGUGGCGAAGGCGGUUACCUGGACGGGUACUGACGCUGAGGCGCGAAAGCGUGGGGAGCAAACAGGAUUAGAUACCCUGGUAGUCCACGCUGUAAACGAUGAGCACUUGGUGUUGCGGGUA